AUGGAGAAGAGCAGGGCCACGCUGAGCACAGCCACCUUCAUCUUCCUCUUUCUCUGGGCAGCGCUGGGUGAGGCUGCAGCAGCAGGGGCUCAGGGUAGGAUAAGAUGUUUUCUGGACCCGAGACGGGGCGUGGUUUGCAACAACGACUUCGGCUCCGGUGGAGGGUUCUCUCACCACGGCCACCCCAUAUUUGGGCUCGGCAAGUUCUUCCGUUCUCGUGGUAAGUACUGGAGUUUUGGGGGAACUGGGAACCAGUUUUUGGGGGAACUGUGGCAACUGGGAACCAGUUUGUCCAGCCCAUCCCUUACUGGGGCCGGAGACACACUGGUGAUGUGUCACCAUCUCUCUGCAGAGGAGAGCCACAGUCGGGAAGAGCAAGGUAAGAACUGGGAAUUGUGGGGCCAGACCCCGUGAUGGCUAUCACUCAUCCCAGUGCACCCAGUAAAUCCCAGUGCACCCCAGGGAAUCCCCUCCAUUGUAUUCCCACCCAUCUUAGUACACCCCAGUAAAUCCCAGUGCUUCCUAUAGUUCCC
This 533-nucleotide long non-coding RNA is filed under the name Taeniopygia guttata (zebra finch). Its description in RNAcentral is "lncRNA (ENSTGUG00000026231.1)". The record is from RNAcentral. Lineage: Eukaryota; Metazoa; Chordata; Aves; Passeriformes; Estrildidae.